RNAcentral lists this transfer RNA (73 nucleotides) under Egibacter rhizosphaerae. It matches the Rfam family "tRNA". From Rfam's summary of the family: Transfer RNA (tRNA) molecules are approximately 80 nucleotides in length. Their secondary structure includes four short double-helical elements and three loops (D, anti-codon, and T loops). Lineage: Bacteria; Bacillati; Actinomycetota; Nitriliruptoria; Egibacterales; Egibacteraceae. The record is from Rfam by way of RNAcentral.
GGGGCUGUAGCUCAGGUGGCAGAGCGCCUCGUUCGCAACGAGGAGGUCAGGGGUUCGAGUCCCCUCAGCUCCA